This is a non-coding RNA of Anolis carolinensis (green anole), 334 nucleotides long. Lineage: Eukaryota; Metazoa; Chordata; Lepidosauria; Squamata; Anolidae. The record is from Rfam.
GAGGUAAGGCUCAUCUGGGUGUGACAUUGGUUACCCCAUUGAUUGUGAUGGUUAAUUCGGCUAACCUGGGUGGCUAGAUGGGUGUGCCUUUCUUCCUUCACCUUCGCAGGUGCAUCCCUCCCAAACCUGCAUGCUUGUUGGAAGGGGGGGGGAACCAUCCCAGAUAGGAAAAAUGUACAGUUCUUUGGUUGUAGAAUCAAAGACUUGAAAGAAAUCCCGAGGUCCAUUCAGCCCAACAGCAUUCUGCCAACUAGGAAUAUGCAUUAAAAACGCUUCUGACAAGUGGCCACCCAGUUUCUGUUUCAAAACUUCCAAAGAAGGAGACUUGAUCACA